Molecule: long non-coding RNA, 438 nt
Organism: Musa acuminata AAA Group (dessert banana)
Lineage: Eukaryota; Viridiplantae; Streptophyta; Magnoliopsida; Zingiberales; Musaceae
Exons: 3
Source: RefSeq, a predicted model, not a curated record
AGAAAGCGGUGCGAUUGCUUCGGUACCUGCGGCGUCGGUGCCCUAAUCUAAGAGGGGAGAUGGGAAAAAAGAGCGAGGAUCCGGCAUUCUUCCUCAGCCAUCACCCGUCGCCGGACGCUGAAGGCCCCAACCACCGGCAGCGGUAAAGAAUCCGACGUUAUCGCCCGCCGCCGGCCACGCAGCGCCGGCUCAUUAAGCCAGUUUUUCUAAAUCAUGGAUUGUCCAAAUGGAGAUGAUCAUGAAGGAGUCAGUGUUGUCGGCUUUGAAGUUCCGAGAUCACCUGAUUCAAGCUACAAGCAACCCCAUACCAGGAAAUGAAGAUGAAGCUCGAGAACCUCCACUCGUCCCUCCUCAUCUGCACCAUACCUCGCUGAACUAUUCACACAGUCAAGACGAUCCAGGUAGUCUCAUAGCGCCUCAAAAUGUGAUUCUCAAUCA